Non-coding RNA from Biomphalaria pfeifferi, 291 nucleotides. Lineage: Eukaryota; Metazoa; Mollusca; Gastropoda; Planorbidae. The record is from the annotation of a GenBank genome assembly.
UUAAUGCCAGAUUUGGCGAUUGCUAAAUAUUAGGAAUUAAACAGUUGUAGUUAAUCAUUGUCUCUUUCUAUAAGUUAAGAAUAUUGAAUAAUGAUUAAUUGGACGAUUGGAGCUGUAGAUAUAUACUAUGUCUACAUUUACUACUGCCAGACCAUGGCUGUAUUCUCUCUCUCAUCAAUAAGUGUACAUCUCUCAACUAUGACCUUCUAAUGCUAAUAAGCACAUAAUGGACAUCUUUUAAGCAUUUGAAUAUAUUAUUUCAAAAUUUGUCUUAAAGUUAGAAAAAAAAAA